Molecule: ribosomal RNA, 528 nt
Filed under: fungal endophyte
Lineage: Eukaryota; Fungi
Description: eukaryotic LSU rRNA
Rfam family: 5.8S ribosomal RNA (bases 172-325)
Source: RNAcentral
GUGAACCUGCGGAGGGAUCAUUACCGAGUUUACAACUCCCAAACCCCUGUGAACAUACCAAUUGUUGCCUCGGCGGAUCAGCCCGCUCCCGGUAAAACGGGACGGCCCGCCAGAGGACCCACAAACUCUGUUUCUAUAUGUAACUUCUGAGUAAAACCAUAAAUAAAUCAAAACUUUCAACAACGGAUCUCUUGGUUCUGGCAUCGAUGAAGAACGCAGCAAAAUGCGAUAAGUAAUGUGAAUUGCAGAAUUCAGUGAAUCAUCGAAUCUUUGAACGCACAUUGCGCCCGCCAGUAUUCUGGCGGGCAUGCCUGUUCGAGCGUCAUUUCAACCCUCAAGCCCAGCUUGGUGUUGGGACUCGCGAGUCAAAUCGCGUUCCCCAAAUUGAUUGGCGGUCACGUCGAGCUUCCAUAGCGUAGUAGUAAAACCCUCGUUACUGGUAAUCGUCGCGGCCACGCCGUUAAACCCCAACUUCUGAAUGUUGACCUCGGAUCAGGUAGGAAUACCCGCUGAACUUAAGCAUAUCAA